RNAcentral lists this long non-coding RNA (1689 nucleotides) under Marmota monax (woodchuck). Lineage: Eukaryota; Metazoa; Chordata; Mammalia; Rodentia; Sciuridae. The record is from RNAcentral.
GGGCAGGAAGUGCAGGCUGGCUCCAUGUUCAAGGACAGCUUCGCCAAGAGCCCAAAGCUGGCCUGAGACAUCCUACGUGCCUGGCCCUGGUUCCUUGAGAUGGCGUGUGGGGACGGGGUGCAGAGCUGGGUGGACUGGGUGCCUUUGGAUUGGAUGGCCACAGAACAUCUGACUCUAAGUGAAGCCCAAGCCUGAGCCUGGCCGAUGGGCAGCCGUGGGGAGAACACUGUGGUCCUCAGAGAUGGCUCGGGCUGGAGAGGAUCUCUAGGGCACCCUGAGCUCUGAAGCACCGCGAUUCUACUUCCAGUGCAAGAGCGGGCCCUCUUACAGCCAGCCAGAGGGGCCUGGAAAUCUGACGUUCCACAGAACUAGCCCGAAGGAAGAAGCAAAACAGAACACCCUCAGCUACUCCCUGUUGGGUUCCGGACUCCACACAGGUGAACAAGCAGCUGGUGCCAGUGUUUGGAGGGAGGCUGGGUGGCAGAGAGGCAGGAAGGGGAGGCCCUGGCAGUGUCCUGAGCGGGAACCGGCAGGUCUGGCUUGGAGAGGUGGAGGCUUGGCCCUCAAGGGCCUGUGCAUGGGCCUCAUGUGCUGGACGAGGCAGGCCCAGCUGACUUGCUGGUGGUGGCCUGAGGUUAAUAGUCAAAGGGGACUGACCUCCCAGUAUCCACCAGGGAGAGCUGGGUGAGCAGUGAAUGUCACUUGGAAACAGAGAGGGGUGGUUUGCAGCUCGGGUGACUGGAAGGAGCCCCGCCCUUCUCUGGAGCUUGCCAUUCCCAGGGGUCCUACAACCUUGGGGUGGAGAAACCCAGGCCAACGGAGCAGCGGUCACCCCGCUGGUGGGUAGAGAGGGAGAGAGACAGCAGGAUGGCUAAGUCCAUGUCUUGAUGGGGGUUUGAGUCACACAGGCAUAUGCACUUGCCAAGACUCAGUGAAUGUGUAAAAUCUGUGCAUUUCUUCACCAGUCAAUUGUAAUUUUUUAAAAAUAUUUUUUUUAGUUGCAUAUGGACACAAUACCUCUAUUUUAUUUUUAUGUGUUGCUGAGGAUCAAACCCAGUGCCUCACAUGUGCAAGGCAAGUGCUCUACCACUGAGCUACAACCGCAGCUCUGUCAAUUUUAUAUUGGAAGGAAAAACCCUGUAAACAAACGUUGACCGCGAGCUAACACUAAGCAUGGUAGGUGUCAGGAAGGGUACUGAUGCCUGCAAUUUGCUUUGUUCUGGGUUGAAAUGUCAAGGUGGGUGGACGGGUGGAAGGAUAGGAGACGACUGACUGACAGCUACCUGACCCAACAGGGGAGGAGGACAGGGGCAGAGACUCUGAGCAGUGGGUGGGACCCUCACCACAGACUCUCUAGGCUUUGCUGGAGUCUGCAAUGUCCAUGACAAGGUACUGGGGCAGCAGGCCUCUGGUCCCCUGCAGUAAUGCCUGCUGUCUGUCUAUUCCCACUUAGCGAGCUCCUCCUGCCCCACAGCCCCAGCCCUUGACCGCUGGCCUCCACUGGACUGGGUGUCGUGUGCCAGCUGGCACUCAAUUAAACAAGGAGGAAGCUGGCUGACCUGGGCACCAGGCUCUGUGCAAAAGGGAAGCCGAGGUGAGUCAAGCGCCUCCUCGUGCCAGGAAUGCCGUGUGUGUCCUCAUCACCGCCUGCACAGGGCCUUCCGUGAGGCCCCCUGCUCUGCCCCUUGC